This 2015-nucleotide ribosomal RNA is filed under the name Eubothrium fragile. Its description in RNAcentral is "SSU rRNA". It matches the Rfam family "Eukaryotic small subunit ribosomal RNA". Lineage: Eukaryota; Metazoa; Platyhelminthes; Cestoda; Bothriocephalidea; Triaenophoridae. The record is from RNAcentral.
GCGAAUGGCUCAUUAAAUCAGCUAUGGUUUACAGGACCGUACUUGUUAAAUGGAUAACUGUAAUAACUCUAGAGCUAAUACAUGCAACUAUGCCCUGACCCGCAAGGGGAUGGGUGCACUUAUUAGAUCAGAAGCCAACCGGGCAUCAGUCGCAAGGCUGUUGUCUGUUGUUUUUCUGGUGACUCUGGAUAAUUGUUACAGAUCGCAGUCGGCCAUGAGUCGGCGACGGGUCCUUCAAAUGUCUGCCCUAUCAACUUUCGAUGGUAGGUGACCUGCCUACCAUGGUGAUAACGGGUAACGGGGAAUCAGGGUUCGAUUCCGGAGAGGGAGCCUGAGAAACGGCUACCACUUCCAAGGGAGGCAGCAGGCGCGCAAAUUACCCACUUCCAGUACGGGGAGGUGGUGACGAAAAAUACCGAUGCGGGCCUCCGAAAUGAGGCUCCGUAAUCGGAAUGAGUGAACUAUAAAUCCUUUCACAAGGAUCAAUUGGAGGGCAAGUCUGGUGCCAGCAGCCGCGGUAACUCCAGCUCCAAUAGCGUAUAUUAAAGUUGCUGCAGUUAAAAAGCUCGUAGUUGGAUCUCGGUAUCACUGCUGUCUCUCAAUCAUUGGGGCGUUGGCCUAUUGGUGUAUGGGUUUUCCCUGUAUCAUAGUGUCGGCUGCUUCGGGUUGGCGAGGCAGCGGUGUCACCUUUCAGCCAUGUCUGUGUGGAUAAUCCCGCAGGUGCGGGCGAGUGACAGGCGGUGCCAUGCUGCUGUAGGGUCCGUCGGCUCGUCUUCAUGCCUUUGGAUGCCCUUUAAAAGGUGUCUGUUGGCGGAUGGCACGUUUACUUUGAACAAAUUUGAGUGCUCAAACCAGGCCGCUGUUGCCUGAAAAGUUUUGCAUGGAAUAAUGGAAUAGGACUUCGGUUCUAUUUCGUUGGUUUUCGGAUCCGAAGUAAUGAUCAAAAGAGACAAGCGGGGACGUUUGUAUGGCUGCGCUAGAGGUGAAAUUCUUGGACCGUAGCCAGACAGACUAAAGCGAAAGCAUUCGUCAAGCAUGUUUUCAUUGACCAUGAGCGAAAGUCAGAGGCUCGAAGACGAUCAGAUACCGUCCUAGUUCUGACCAUAAACGAUACCAACUGACGAUCCGUGGUGGUAGAAUUUAAACCUUCCUCACGGGCAGUCCCCGGGAAACCAUUAAGUCUAUGGGUUCCGGGGGAAGUAUGGUUGCAAAGCUGAAACUUAAAGGAAUUGACGGAAGGGCACCACCAGGAGUGGAGCCUGCGGCUUAAUUUGACUCAACACGGGAAAACUCACCCGGCCCGGACACUAUGAGGAUUGACAGAUUGAAAGCUCUUUUCUUGAUUUGGUGAUUGGUGGUGCAUGGCCGUUCUUAGUUGGUGGAGCGAUUUGUCUGGUUAAUUCCGAUAACGAACGAGACUCCAACCUGCUAAUUAGUUCUCCUGUCCACUGUAUCUGUGCAGGUGAGCGUUGCCGAUUCUGCUCUAUACGGCUUUCACGGUCGGCGCUAGUAUGAUGAGAUGGACGGGAUCGUAAGGUUCAGUUUGUCGAGUCUGCUAGUGCUGGUUGCGGUUGCUUGAGUGGGAUGGGUGGCGUUAAGCUUCCGGGUACGGCGCAGUGUCUACUUCUUAGAGGGACAAGCGGGAGAAACCGCACGAAAUUGAGCAAUAACAGGUCUGUGAUGCCCUUAGAUGUCCGGGGCCGCACGCGCGCUACAAUGGCGGUGGCAACGAGUCUGACCUUCUGGCCCGAAAGGGUUGGGCAAACUGGUCAAUCACCGUCAUGACAGGGAUCGGGGCUUGGAAUUGUUCCCCGUGAACGAGGAAUUCCUAGUAAGUGCAAGUCAUAAGCUUGCGCUGAUUACGUCCCUGCCCUUUGUACACACCGCCCGUCGCUACUACCGAUUGAAUGGUUUAGUAAGGUCCUUGGAUUGGCACGAUUGCAGCCGCAAGGCUCAGACGGUGCUGAGAAGACGACCGAACUUGAUCAUUUAGAGGAAGUAAAAGUCGUAACAAG